UCUAGUUUACUAUGCUAUUUCUCUAGGACUCUACUGAUCAAUAGAAAAUGAGGGGCAUUACAAGAGACAAGUGACUGAAGUCUGAGCAUGUGAGAGGUCAAUUCUAUUUAAAGCGGGGGGAAGAAGCAUUCUCUCUUGGAACAGGAAAAGAAAACGUCUUUCUACCAUACUUACUAAACCACAGGAUACUUCUACAUCUGCUGUAACUUCUGUGCCAAAGACAAGGUUACAGUUAUGCAACAGAUCUUUUACAAAGAAUAAAGUCCUGGAUUGCCUCAUGGGAAGCAAAGGACAUAUGCUGAUGCUCUACAGCUACUGAGUUGCUGCAGAGAUGAAUUUUUCUUGGACAGCAUUCUGUUGAGUAGGUUCUGGAAUCAUAUAAAACAGCCACUUGCAAAAAAAAGUAAAAUGGAAAAAUAAUUUGUAUAUUAUAG
This is a long non-coding RNA of Trachemys scripta elegans, 434 nucleotides long. RefSeq lists it as uncharacterized. The record is from RefSeq and is a predicted model, not a curated record. Lineage: Eukaryota; Metazoa; Chordata; Testudines; Emydidae. The transcript has 4 exons.